UUGUAGCUGAUGGGAAGCAGGUUAAUAUUCCUGCACCGUCGUUAGAUGCGAUGGGGGGACGGAUCGCGGAAGGUUGUCCGGGUGUUGGAUGUCCCGGUUCUUGACCUGGAGAAGGCUGUUAGGAAAAUCCGGCAGCGUAAUUCAAGGGGUUGAGACUAGCGAGCUUGCUCGCAAAGCAAUCGGAAGUGGUUCCAAGAAAAGCCUCUAAGCUUCAGUCUAACGAGACCGUACCGCAAACCGACACAGGUGGGCGAGAUGAGUAUUCUAAGGCGCUUGAGAGAACUCGGGAGAAGGAACUCGGCAAAUUUGUACCGUAACUUCGGGAUAAGGUACGCCCUAGUAGCUUUACCGUGAACAACGGAAGGGUGAAUGGGCUGCAAUAAAAAGGUGGCUGCGACUGUUUAAUAAAAACACAGCACUCUGCAAACACGAAAGUGGACGUAUAGGGUGUGACGCCUGCCCGGUGCUGGAAGAUUAAAUGAUGGGGUGCAAGCUCUUGAUUGAAGUCCCAGUAAACGGCGGCCGUAACAAUAACGGUCCUAAGGUAGCGAUAUUCCUUGUCGGGUAAGUUCCGACCUGCACGAAUGGCGUAACGAUGGCCACACUGUCUCCUCCCGAGACUCAGCGAAGUUGAAAUGUUUGUGAUGAUGCAAUCUACCCGCGGCUAGACGGAAAGACCCCACGAACCUUUACUGUAGCUUUGCAUUGGACUUUGAACCAAUCUGUGUAGGAUAGGUGGGAGGCUUUGAAGCGGGGACGCUAGUCCUCGUGGAGCCAACCUUGAAAUACCACCCUGGUUUGUUUGAGGUUCUAACCUUGGUCCGUUAUCCGGAUCGGGGACAGUGCAUGGUAGGCAGUUUGACUGGGGCGGUCUCCUCCCAAAGGGUAACGGAGGAGUUCGAAGGUACGCUAGGUACGGUCGGACAUCGUGCUAAUAGUGCAAUGGCAUAAGCGUGCUUAACUGCGAGACUGACAAGUCGAGCAGGUACGAAAGUAGGACAUAGUGAUCCGGUGGUUCUGUAUGGAAGGGCCAUCGCUCAACGGAUAAAAGGUACUCUGGGGAUAACAGGCUGAUUCCUCCCAAGAGUUCAUAUCGACGGGGGAGUUUGGCACCUCGAUGUCGGCUCAUCACAUCCUGGGGCUGUAGCCGGUCCCAAGGGUAUGGCUGUUCGCCAUUUAAAGUGGUACGUGAGCUGGGUUUAAAACGUCGUGAGACAGUUUGGUCCCUAUCUGCCGUGGGCGUUGGAAGUUUGAGGGGGGCUGCUCCUAGUACGAGAGGACCGGAGUGGACGAACCUCUGGUGUACCGGUUGUCACGCCAGUGGCAUCGCCGGGUAGCUAAGUUCGGAAGAGAUAACCGCUGAAAGCAUCUAAGCGGGAAACUUGCCUCAAGAUGAUACUUCCCGGGAACUUGAUUCCCCUAAAGGGUCGUUCGAGACCAGGACGUUGAUAGGCUGGGUGUGGAAGCGCAGUAAUGCGUUAAGCUAACCAGUACUAAUUGCCCGUGAGGCUUGUCCCC
Molecule: ribosomal RNA, 1518 nt
Filed under: metagenome
Description: bacterial LSU rRNA
Rfam family: Bacterial large subunit ribosomal RNA
Source: RNAcentral